RNAcentral lists this long non-coding RNA (279 nucleotides) under Elaeis guineensis (African oil palm). Its description in RNAcentral is "long non-coding RNA (EGUI_LNC076472)". Lineage: Eukaryota; Viridiplantae; Streptophyta; Magnoliopsida; Arecales; Arecaceae. The record is from RNAcentral.
GCUGUAUGAUCUUGAAAAAGUUUCAAGAUCUAACCCUGAAACCCUAGAUCUGGUUCCUACAAUUGGUAUCAGAGCCAGGUUCUUUAUUACAUGAUUAUUUAUACAUGCUUAGAUUAUUUUUUAGAUUAAAUUUAAUUUAUAAUCUGAUUAUUAAAUCUAAAAUUAAAAUUUUAGAUCAAUCAUGAACUGCAAGGUUGUCCUGCUGUAAGGUUUACCCCUUACAGUGCAAAGGUUGUCCUAGUUUGUGUAGAUCUAUCUUUAAUAAUAAAUUUGUUAGAU